AAGAGGGUCUUUGUAGAUGCAGUCAGUUAAAAUGAGGUCAUAGUGGGUUAUGUGGCCCUAUAUCCAAUGACUGGUGUCCUUAUGAGGGAAAUUUGGACACAGACGAGGGGAAGCUUCCUAGGACACUGAGGGCAGAGACAGGAGGAAUGCUGCCCAAGCCAAGAGAUGCCACCAGAAACCAGGAGAGGCAAGGAACACCUUCUCCCCGAGUCCCCAGGAAGCAGCCUGCCUUCAGAACUGUGAGAGAGCACACCGGGGUCGUGUUAAGUCUUCCGGCUUGUUUCAGCACCCCAGGACACUCACACGUCCAGGCGGGUGCGAUGGCUGGCUGUGUGGGUGAAGGGAUCCGCCGCAGGAAUGAAGGCUUGCAGGGCCCUGGUGGCGGGCCCCACCUUGUGAGCAGCUUGUGGGGAGGGUCUCCCUGCGGGGGCUGGGCUCCCCUAGGCCUUACCCGUCCUGCCAUCCAGAGGCGCUGGCCCCGUGGCCCUGCUACAUCAGAGUCUUCCCUGCGGGGCCAUGGCUCCACUCCACCAAUGGGUCCUGGAUUCCAGGAGGCUGGGUGUGUCCCCACCAGCUCUCCAGAGGGACUCAGCAAAGCAGCCUGUGCCCAGUGCCGUUUAUGCUGGCCCUCGGCCACUGCCUCCUACGUCCUUUCUGGAGUCAGUGGUAGCCCAAGUCGUGACAAGAUCAAGGCUAAUCUUCAAACUCUGGUGGAAAAGACACAGCUGCCCUUGGCAGAUCCCUUCCUCCUGGCCUGCUCUUCCCCCUGGCAAGUCCCCCUAUGCCUGUCAGGGAAGGUUCCACCAUGAAGUCACAAGGCCUGGAGCCAGGCAAGAAAGCCAGACAGCAGUGUUACCAUGGAGACUCCUGCCCAAGCACCCAACACCUGUGAUCAUCACCUGCCUCUUAAUUCAGCUUAAUCCAGAUCACCCCUGGGACCUGGGGAUACAAAGGAAGGCUCAGCUCUCCAUGACAGGCCCAGCGAGCUUGCUCAGGGACUUGUGCCCAGAGACUCCGAGAGUUCCCCAGGAGCUUUCCCAGGAAGACUGGGCAGCUGAGCCUCUGCUAGGUCGGCCUUCAGAGGUCGUCUUUAGCCUUAGGGCUGGAGGCUGGAGAAGCCCAGCACACCGCCCAGGGCCGCAGGGCCUUGGUAUCUCCAGGACAUCAAGCUUCCCCCGGAUCCCAAGCACAGUGUGACCCAGCUGGGUUCCCGGGGGCCAGGCCCCAGACCCCCCACCCCUACCCUGGGGCCAUUAAAGCUUGCCUUUCUUGUUUUGUGGACUUAACUCUUUAAUCCACGUGGAAUUUAUUUUUCCAAGUGCCAACAGAUAAAGCUCUAAUUUUAUUUUAUAUUUUAUGUUAUGUAUGUUGAUUCAGUAUCAUCUAUGAAUGACGUAUUUCUCCACCAACCUGAUUUCAAAAGCC
RNAcentral lists this long non-coding RNA (1425 nucleotides) under Suricata suricatta (meerkat). Its description in RNAcentral is "lncRNA (ENSSSUG00005002074.1)". The record is from RNAcentral. Lineage: Eukaryota; Metazoa; Chordata; Mammalia; Carnivora; Herpestidae.